GUUGAAGGAAGCAGAACGUAUUU
This 23-nucleotide non-coding RNA is filed under the name Cricetulus griseus (Chinese hamster). Lineage: Eukaryota; Metazoa; Chordata; Mammalia; Rodentia; Cricetidae. The record is from RNAcentral.